RNAcentral lists this ribosomal RNA (497 nucleotides) under uncultured bacterium. RNAcentral's name for it is "partial 16S ribosomal RNA". It matches the Rfam family "Bacterial small subunit ribosomal RNA", at positions 28 to 507 of the family's 1533-position model. The record is from RNAcentral.
GAUGAACGCUGGCGGCGUGCCUAAUACAUGCAAGUCGAGCGAACAGACGAGGAGCUUGCUCCUUCGACGUUAGCGGCGGACGGGUGAGUAGCACGUAGGUAACCUACCUAUAAGACUGGGAUAACUUCGGGAAACCGGAGCUAAUACCGGAUAAUAUUUCGAACCGCAUGGUUCGAUAGUGAAAGAUGGCUUUGCUAUCACUUAUAGAUGGACCUGCGCCGUAUUAGCUAGUUGGUAAGGUAACGGCUUACCAAGGCAACGAUACGUAGCCGACCUGAGAGGGUGAUCGGCCACACUGGAACUGAGACACGGUCCAGACUCCUACGGGAGGCAGCAGUAGGGAAUCUUCCGCAAUGGGCGAAAGCCUGACGGAGCAACGCCGCGCGAGUGAUGAAGGUCUUCGGAUCGUAAAACUCUGUUAUUAGGGAAGAACAAACGUGUAAGUAACUGUGCACGUCUUGACGGUACCUAAUCAGAAAGCCACGGCUAACUACGUG